GCCCAAGUGGUGGAAUGGUAGACACGCUGGUCUUAGAAACCAGUGCCGUAAGGUGUGGAAGUUCGAGUCUUCUCUUGGGCACCA
Molecule: transfer RNA, 84 nt
Filed under: Candidatus Altimarinota bacterium
Lineage: Bacteria; Candidatus Altimarinota
Description: tRNA-Leu
Rfam family: tRNA
About the family: Transfer RNA (tRNA) molecules are approximately 80 nucleotides in length. Their secondary structure includes four short double-helical elements and three loops (D, anti-codon, and T loops). Further hydrogen bonds mediate the characteristic L-shaped molecular structure. tRNAs have two regions of fundamental functional importance: the anti-codon, which is responsible for specific mRNA codon recognition, and the 3' end, to which the tRNAs corresponding amino acid is attached (by aminoacyl-tRNA synthetases). tRNAs cope with the degeneracy of the genetic code in two manners: having more than one tRNA (with a specific anti-codon) for a particular amino acid; and 'wobble' base-pairing, i.e. permitting non-standard base-pairing at the 3rd anti-codon position.
Source: RNAcentral